Molecule: long non-coding RNA, 687 nt
Filed under: Bos taurus (domestic cattle)
Lineage: Eukaryota; Metazoa; Chordata; Mammalia; Artiodactyla; Bovidae
Description: long non-coding RNA NONBTAT025068
Source: RNAcentral
CCCACAAGUAGAUACGUAUACUGUGUUAGAAUAUAGACAUCUUGUUUAUUCUGGUGUCUAAAGUAUCUAAUUUUAUUCAGUGGUAUCAUUGCCUUUUUAGGUCUUGCAAAACUAAAUGAAUGAAAUGAAAUGAAUGAAAAAUGUAUUUCACUAUCUGUUAAAAAUAUCCAGAUACAGAUCUAUAUGAUAUUGUUCACUUUUGCAUUAUUCUUUCAAGUAUAUUCUCAUUGUUCCUGGUCUGUUAUGUGAAAUGUGUAAGUAGUAUUAAUAAACAUGCUUGAGAGGUCAUGUUACAUAUAUAUAUAUGUUUACUGAAAAGAUAUUGUUAAGCACUUGUAUAACUAAAAGGCUAAAUAAAUGUUUACAUGCAUGUAUAUAUAUGUAUUUAUUAAGUAUACUAUAUAUUCCAAUUAUCAUUGUAUAUAGUACAAGCAAAUUAUUAGCAUACACCUUACUCUUUUCAAGCUUAUAGUUCUUCAGAUACUGAUGAAGAUGAUUUGUCUUUAUACUGUACUACAUUUGGGUAUUUGUCAUUUGAUAAGCAAAUGCUGGAAAUACUUUUUUUUUAACUGUUUUUAAACAUAAACAUUCAUUUAUAUUUAAAAGAGCUGACCAUUCUUUGCAAGCUAAUUGUGUCAUAAAAACUCAACAGAAAUAAAAGUCUAAUGUAUGCAUUAUUUGUUUAUG